UACGUAGGGACCAAGCGUUGUUCGGAUUUACUGGGCGUAAAGGGCCAGUAGGCGGCCAACUAAGUCACACGUGAAAUCCCCAGGCUUAACCUGGGAACUGCGUGUGAUACUGGAUGGCUUGAAUUCGGGAGAGGGAUGCAGAAUUCCAGGUGUAGCGGUGAAAUGCGUAGAUAUCUGGAGGAAUACCGGUGGCGAAGGCGGCAUCCUGGACCGACAUUGACGCUGAACGGCGAAAGCUAGGGGAGCAAACGGG
This 253-nucleotide ribosomal RNA is filed under the name uncultured bacterium. Its description in RNAcentral is "partial 16S ribosomal RNA". It matches the Rfam family "Bacterial small subunit ribosomal RNA", at positions 524 to 776 of the family's 1533-position model. The record is from RNAcentral.